UCUACAGGCUUAACACAUGCAAGUCGAGGGGCAUCAGGAAGAAAGCUUGCUUUCUUUGCUGGCGACCGGCGCACGGGUGAGUAACACGUAUCCAACCUGCCCUUUACUCGGGGAUAGCCUUUCGAAAGAAAGAUUAAUACCCGAUAGCAUAAUGAUUCCGCAUGGUUUCAUUAUUAAAGGAUUCCGGUAAAGGAUGGGGAUGCGUUCCAUUAGGUUGUUGGUGAGGUAACGGCCCACCAAGCCUUCGAUGGAUAGGGGUUCUGAGAGGAAGGUCCCCCACAUUGGAACUGAGACACGGUCCAAACUCCUACGGGAGGCAGCAGUGAGGAAUAUUGGUCAAUGGGCGCUAGCCUGAACCAGCCAAGUAGCGUGAAGGAUGAAGGCUCUAUGGGUCGUAAACUUCUUUUAUAUAAGAAUAAAGUGCAGUAUGUAUACUGUUUUGUAUGUAUUAUAUGAAUAAGGAUCGGCUAACUCCGUGCCAGCAGCCGCGGUAAUACGGAGGAUCCGAGCGUUAUCCGGAUUUAUUGGGUUUAAAGGGAGCGUAGGUGGACUGGUAAGUCAGUUGUGAAAGUUUGCGGCUCAACCGUAAAAUUGCAGUUGAUACUGUCAGUCUUGAGUACAGUAGAGGUGGGCGGAAUUCGUGGUGUAGCGGUGAAAUGCUUAGAUAUCACGAAGAACUCCGAUUGCGAAGGCAGCUCACUGGACUGCAACUGACACUGAUGCUCGAAAGUGUGGGUAUCAAACAGGAUUAGAUACCCUGGUAGUCCACACAGUAAACGAUGAAUACUCGCUGUUUGCGAUAUACAGUAAGCGGCCAAGCGAAAGCAUUAAGUAUUCCACCUGGGGAGUACGCCGGCAACGGUGAAACUCAAAGGAAUUGACGGGGGCCCGCACAAGCGGAGGAACAUGUGGUUUAAUUCGAUGAUACGCGAGGAACCUUACCCGGGCUUAAAUUGCAGUGGAAUGAUGUGGAAACAUGUCAGUGAGCAAUCACCGCUGUGAAGGUGCUGCAUGGUUGUCGUCAGCUCGUGCCGUGAGGUGUCGGCUUAAGUGCCAUAACGAGCGCAACCCUUAUCUUCAGUUACUAACAGGUUAUGCUGAGGACUCUGGAGAGACUGCCGUCGUAAGAUGUGAGGAAGGUGGGGAUGACGUCAAAUCAGCACGGCCCUUACGUCCGGGGCUACACACGUGUUACAAUGGGGGGUACAGAAGGCAGCUACCUGGUGACAGGAUGCUAAUCCCAAAAGCCUCUCUCAGUUCGGAUCGAAGUCUGCAACCCGACUUCGUGAAGCUGGAUUCGCUAGUAAUCGCGCAUCAGCCACGGCGCGGUGAAUACGUUCCCGGGCCUUGUACACACCGCCCGUCAAGCCAUGGGAGCCGGGGGUACCUGAAGUACGUAACCGCAAGGAUCGUCCUAGGGUAAAACUGGUGACUGGGG
This 1438-nucleotide ribosomal RNA is filed under the name uncultured organism. Its description in RNAcentral is "SSU rRNA". It matches the Rfam family "Bacterial small subunit ribosomal RNA". The record is from RNAcentral.